This 2352-nucleotide ribosomal RNA is filed under the name Enterobacter hormaechei. Its description in RNAcentral is "partial 23S ribosomal RNA". It matches the Rfam family "Bacterial large subunit ribosomal RNA", at positions 395 to 2821 of the family's 2925-position model. Lineage: Bacteria; Pseudomonadati; Pseudomonadota; Gammaproteobacteria; Enterobacterales; Enterobacteriaceae. The record is from RNAcentral.
UGCUGUGAACUCGAAGAGUAGGGCGGGACACGUGGUAUCCUGUCUGAAUAUGGGGGGACCAUCCUCCAAGGCUAAAUACUCCUGACUGACCGAUAGUGAACCAGUACCGUGAGGGAAAGGCGAAAAGAACCCCGGCGAGGGGAGUGAAAAAGAACCUGAAACCGUGUACGUACAAGCAGUGGGAGCCUCUUUAUGGGGUGACUGCGUACCUUUUGUAUAAUGGGUCAGCGACUUAUAUUCUGUAGCAAGGUUAACCGUAUAGGGGAGCCGAAGGGAAACCGAGUCUUAACUGGGCGUUAAGUUGCAGGGUAUAGACCCGAAACCCGGUGAUCUAGCCAUGGGCAGGUUGAAGGUUGGGUAACACUAACUGGAGGACCGAACCGACUAAUGUUGAAAAAUUAGCGGAACCGGGAGAUAGCUGGUUCUCCCCGAAAGCUAUUUAGGUAGCGCCUCGUGAACUCAUCUUCGGGGGUAGAGCACUGUUUCGGCUAGGGGGCCAUCCCGGCUUACCAACCCGAUGCAAACUACGAAUACCGAAGAAUGUUAUCACGGGAGACACACGGCGGGUGCUAACGUCCGUCGUGAAGAGGGAAACAACCCAGACCGCCAGCUAAGGUCCCAAAGUCAUGGUUAAGUGGGAAACGAUGUGGGAAGGCACAGACAGCCAGGAUGUUGGCUUAGAAGNNNNNNNNNNNNNNNNNNNNNNNNNNNNNNNNNNNNNNNNNNNNNNGUUGUUGGGUAGGGGAGCGUUCUGUAAGCCGUUGAAGGUGUGCUGUGAGGCAUGCUGGAGGUAUCAGAAGUGCGAAUGCUGACAUAAGUAACGAUAAAGCGGGUGAAAAGCCCGCUCGCCGGAAGACCAAGGGUUCCUGUCCAACGUUAAUCGGGGCAGGGUGAGUCGACCCCUAAGGCGAGGCCGAAAGGCGUAGUCGAUGGGAAACAGGUUAAUAUUCCUGUACUUGGUGUUACUGCGAAGGGGGGACGGAGAAGGCUAUGUCAGCCGGGCGACGGUUGUCCCGGUUUAAGCAUGUAGGCGGAGGUUCCAGGUAAAUCCGGUACGUCAGCCGGGCGACGGUUGUCCCGGUUUAAGCAUGUAGGCGGAGGUUCCAGGUGAAUCCGGUACCUUGUUAACGCUGAGGUGUGAUGACGAGGCACUACGGUGCUGAAGUGAUAAAUGCCCUGCUGCCAGGAAAAGCCUCUAAGCAUCAGGUAACACGAAAUCGUACCCCAAACCGACACAGGUGGUCAGGUAGAGAAUACCAAGGCGCUUGAGAGAACUCGGGUAUGGUGCCGUAACUUCGGGAGAAGGCACGCUGAUGUGUAGGUGAAGCCCCUGCGGGUGGAGCUGAAAUCAGUCGAAGAUACCAGCUGGCUGCAACUGUUUAUUAAAAACACAGCACUGUGCAAACACGAAAGUGGACGUAUACGGUGUGACGCCUGCCCGGUGCCGGAAGGUUAAUUGAUGGGGUUAGCGGCAACGCGAAGCUCUUGAUCGAAGCCCCGGUAAACGGCGGCCGUAACUAUAACGGUCCUAAGGUAGCGAAAUUCCUUGUCGGGUAAGUUCCGACCUGCACGAAUGGCGUAAUGAUGGCCAGGCUGUCUCCACCCGAGACUCAGUGAAAUUGAACUCGCUGUGAAGAUGCAGUGUACCCGCGGCAAGACGGAAAGACCCCGUGAACCUUUACUAUAGCUUGACACUGAACACUGGUCCUUGAUGUGUAGGAUAGGUGGGAGGCUUUGAAGCGUGGACGCCAGUCUGCGUGGAGCCCCGUAAUCCGGGUUGCGGACAGUGUCUGGUGGGUAGUUUGACUGGGGCGGUCUCCUCCCAAAGAGUAACGGAGGAGCACGAAGGUUGGCUAAUCCUGGUCGGACAUCAGGAGGUUAGUGCAAUGGCAUAAGCCAGCUUGACUGCGAGCGUGACGGCGCGAGCAGGUGCGAAAGCAGGUCAUAGUGAUCCGGUGGUUCUGAAUGGAAGGGCCAUCGCUCAACGGAUAAAAGGUACUCCGGGGAUAACAGGCUGAUACCGCCCAAGAGUUCAUAUCGACGGCGGUGUUUGGCACCUCGAUGUCGGCUCAUCACAUCCUGGGGCUGAAGUAGGUCCCAAGGGUAUGGCUGUUCGCCAUUUAAAGUGGUACGCGAGCUGGGUUUAGAACGUCGUGAGACAGUUCGGUCCCUAUCUGCCGUGGGCGGGAGAAUUGAGGGGGGCUGCUCCUAGUACGAGAGGACCGGAGUGGACGCAUCACUGGUGUUCGGGUUGUCAUGCCAAUGGCACUGCCCGGUAGCUAAAUGCGGAAGAGAUAAGUGCUGAAAGCAUCUAAGCACGAAACUUGCCCCGAGAUGAGUUCUCCCUGAGAC